AUCAUGGCUCAGGAUGAACGCUAGCUACAGGCUUAACACAUGCAAGUCGAGGGGUCUGCUUCGGCAGACGACCGGCGCACGGGUGAGUAACGCGUAUCCAACCUGCCCUUCAUAUUGGGAUAGCCUCUCGAAAAGGGAGAUUAAUACCGAAUAACAUGAGAAGUUUGCAUGAAUCUCUCAUGAAAGCUCCGGCGAUGAAGGAUGGGGAUGCGUUCCAUUAGGUAGUAGGCGGGGUAACGGCCCACCUAGCCGACGAUGGAUAGGGGUUCUGAGAGGAAGGUCCCCCACACUGGAACUGAGACACGGUCCAGACUCCUACGGGAGGCAGCAGUGAGGAAUAUUGGUCAAUGGUCUGACGACUGAACCAGCCAUGCCGCGUGAAGGUCACGGCCCUAUGGGUCUUAAACUUCUUUUGCGAGGGAGCAAUAAGGUCUACGUGUAGGCUGAUGAGAGUACCUCGCGAAUAAGCAUCGGCUAACUCCGUG
RNAcentral lists this ribosomal RNA (485 nucleotides) under uncultured bacterium. RNAcentral's name for it is "bacterial SSU rRNA". It matches the Rfam family "Bacterial small subunit ribosomal RNA", at positions 16 to 507 of the family's 1533-position model. The record is from RNAcentral.